RNAcentral lists this ribosomal RNA (503 nucleotides) under uncultured bacterium. RNAcentral describes it as "partial 16S ribosomal RNA". It matches the Rfam family "Bacterial small subunit ribosomal RNA", at positions 29 to 507 of the family's 1533-position model. The record is from RNAcentral.
AACGAACGCUGGCGGCGUGCCUAACACAUGCAAGUCGAACGAGAAAGGGGCUUCGGCUCCGAGUAAAGUGGCGCACGGGUGAGUAACACGUGGGUAACCUGCCUCUAAGAUUGGGAUAACUCGUCGAAAGAUGAGCUAAUACCGAAUAAGACCACAGUUCCCGCGGGAACAGGGGUCAAAGGUAGCCUCUGCUUGCAAGCUAUCACUUAGAGAUGGGCCUGCGCACCAUUAGCUAGUUGGUAGGGUAACGGCCUACCAAGGCAAGGAUGGUUAGCUGGUCUGAGAGGAUGAUCAGCCACACUGGAACUGAGACACGGUCCAGACUCCUACGGGAGGCAGCAGUGGGGAAUAUUGCGCAAUGGGCGAAAGCUUGACGCAGCAACGCCGCGUGAGUGAUGAAGGCCUUCGGGUCGUAAAGCUCUGUCGGGAGGAACGAAUGCUCCUGAGGUUAACAGCCUCGGGAGGUGACGGUACCUUCAAAGGAAGCACCGGCUAACUCUGUG